CUGACAAAUGAGGACUACAGAAAAGCAGAUGAAUUUAUUGAACUCAUGGAGAUCCUGUACACAUCAACCCUUUGUGCCUCAACUGAAAAGAGCUCCACCUGCGGCCAAGUCCUACCAAUCUUGCAAAAGCUGAAGAACCAUUUCACAGUCCGAGAUGGAGAUUCACUGUGAGUCUCCUGUCUAAAGAAGACAAUCUGGACUGAUCUAUUAAAGCGAUAUCAGACAGACCAGGUGAGAAACUUCCUUGGAGAAGCAACUGUCAUGGACCCUGGCUCUAAGCAUACGCUAGAGGAAGAGGAUGCUGAGGAACCGGAUCAAUGAGAAAAUCCUUGCUGCACAUGAUCCUGCAGAAACAGAACAGCUGACAGCCUGGUGUCUUCGGCAAGGAGGGACGCAAGCAGACUGACGAGCCAAGAGGGGAGGAGAGCGAGGAAUCGGAGGAUGAGACUGUUUCACUUCAAACGAGGAAGAAGAUGAAGCUAACCCCCCUGGAGAAGCUUUUCGCUGAGGAUGAUAUCCUGAAAUGGAAGCAGUUUGACGAGGAGGAAGUGCAUCUCAUUGACAACAGUAACUUUGAACGCAUGAAAACUACGCUACAGCGCGAGUCGGGAUGCAGCGGCAUCAGAAGAGAAGUGAAAUACGUGCGAGGCCGUGCUGAUCUCCGCAAUCUGAAGC
Molecule: long non-coding RNA, 675 nt
Organism: Cololabis saira (Pacific saury)
Lineage: Eukaryota; Metazoa; Chordata; Actinopteri; Beloniformes; Belonidae
Exons: 5
Source: RefSeq, a predicted model, not a curated record